AGGAACUAAAUGCACCUAAGCAGAAAUGGCUGCUGCUCACCAGCUACCUAAUUAUUGUCAGGAAAGCUAAAAAUGUAGAAUGUCUGUCAACUUUCAAAGCAGCACACAUGGAGAGCAGCGGUGGGGAAGAUGGAAAUCGCAGCUGGAGGCUAAGCCUCAAAUCUUUGGGCCUGAUUUCUAUGCACAGUCUCCAUCUACAGGAUUCUUUAUGAAAAUUAUUCCAGGCUAUGACUGCAUGAUCCUGAAAUUCCAGUCUAACCGGCACGUGCUGACUGGAUGGGUGUCUGAU
Molecule: long non-coding RNA, 289 nt
Filed under: Ictidomys tridecemlineatus (thirteen-lined ground squirrel)
Lineage: Eukaryota; Metazoa; Chordata; Mammalia; Rodentia; Sciuridae
Description: lncRNA (ENSSTOG00000032152.1)
Source: RNAcentral